RNAcentral lists this long non-coding RNA (1722 nucleotides) under Equus caballus (horse). RNAcentral describes it as "lncRNA (ENSECAG00000053231.1)". The record is from RNAcentral. Lineage: Eukaryota; Metazoa; Chordata; Mammalia; Perissodactyla; Equidae.
GUUGCCUACCAGCAUUCUCCCUUCCUCUUUGUUCAUUAAUACCCUGAUUCUAUUCAGGCCGCAAUUAACCAGCCCCAGGUGAAUCUGGUUUGUCUAAUCCAAUGGGGCAAUACCAUUCACUUAGCCGUUGAGUGGUCUAAGUGUGAACACAUGGCUUACUUCUAACCAAUAAGAAAUAAUGGGGAAUUUCCUGGGGAGAAUUUAAGAAAAAUACUUUUGGCCUCCAUAAAAGAGAGAGCUUCCUGAAGGGGGGAUGCUUUUCUGCCACUCUCUCCUCCUGCUUUUGUUGCCAAGACCUGAAGAACAUUCCUUGCCCCCCGGGCUCCUUUAGGGAGCCCAUCCACUCACACCUCCACUCUCAGUGGGACAUGGUGCUUGGAGAUGGCAGCCGGCACCUCAAAGCUGCAAAGAGAAGGGUAUCGGUCCAGAUAGAGGUGACACAAAGAGGAUAGAGUCUCUGCUGCUGAGGAGCUCAUCGUCUAGAGAGAAGACAGUAAAACCUCUGCCCCCCAAACCUGUAAUGGACUGUGACAAGAGGCAGUUGUGAGGAGGUGAAGACAGUGGAGGAAUAAACACACAGCCAAAUGACAAAGUCAGAGCGUGAAGCCUCCUUGCCCCUGCCCCACCUGUCUUUUCUCUCACGCUCUCUCUUUCCUCUCUGCCGGAGCUGUUCAGGAUAGCCGUGCUUCUCUCAUUCUUAGAAUUCUGCUUUUAUUACUUAGAAAUCUACUAACUUUGUGCUUGUUGGUCUUAACUUACUUUAGAUUACAAAUAUGCCAUUACAUAUUCUACAACAUUUUGGAAAUUCUGUUCUAUGCCAAAAUGAGCAUUGCACUUAAUUUCAAUGCAAAUGUUUCCUUUACUCUGGUCCUUUAUUGUAGUUUGGUAGAAUGAAAAUUCUUAUUCCUUGUUGAUUAUGCACAAUGCUCAAGUUUUUAUGAAAAUAGUUGUCUAAAUUUGUGUUUAAGUUUUAAAUUGAAGUUUGGACAUUUGAAAGAUAUAAUGUUUUGCAGAAUUGUUGCUGCUCUAUUCACAUCUGUUUAUCAUCUCUUUUAUAUCAUUAACUUGAGGAUGUUUUCAGUUGGUGUGAGACUUAAAAAUACUAAAGGCUAUUUAGAAUGAAAACUGUUGAGUCUAAGAAGUUAAAACUCCCCUCAGAUUCUGAAUGUCUGUUCCUAAACUGGUUAAGUGAGUAUAUUUGAAAGGAAAUUGUGUAUAUUUAGGAUAUUUAAUGUAGGUGACACAUAUGGUCUAAUGAAUUUGGCAAUAAAGAAAAGUAGAAAAAUACCAUUUUGUCAGAGAUUAGUGAGAAAAAAAUGCAAAUGAAGUCCUUUAGAUUUGCUAACCUUUUUCUUUUUGGCCAAGAUGACCACACAUUACAAAUAAGAAUGAUUUCUGACCCCAUAUUAAAAGGAGUCAGGUGUGCAGAACUGAUGUGAUGGAAGAAGAUCAAUCACCUUUUGGAAUGGUAAAGGAGCUACCAUUUUAUGCGAGUGCAUACUCAUAGCAGAGUAUGCAUAAUGAUCUAAGGCUCUCAAUUUUUAUUUGAAAGUGAGCAAAGCAGUGUGGAGUCAUAGUAAAUUAAAGCCUCUCUCUUUUUUUUAAUUGUAUCUCCCAUGAUUUUACAUUCCUCUGCCACUUAUGAUGCCUGUCUUGGUUCUGGCUUUUUAAGACUUGGAGCUGGUCUGAGCAUGCAGCCCUUUAUUGCAGCAGACAUUCCAC